AGAGUUUGAUCAUGGCUCAGAAUGAACGCUGGCGGCGUGCUUAACACAUGCAAGUCGCACGAGAACGCUUCAGCUUGCUGAAGUUAGUAAAGUGGCGCACGGGUGAGUAACGCGUGGGUAAUCUCCCCCCGAAUUUGGGAUAACAUCGCGAAAGCGAUGCUAAUACCGGAUAAUAUCUUAAAAACCUCGGUUUUAAAGAUCAAAGGUGGCCUCUACAUGUAAGCUUCUGUUUGGGGAUGAGCCCGCGUACCAUUAGCUUGUUGGUAGGGUAAUGGCCUACCAAGGCUGCGAUGGUUAGCUGGUCUGAGAGGAUGAUCAGCCACACUGGAACUGACACACGGUCCAGACUCCUACGGGAGGCAGCAGUGAGGAAUUUUGCGCAAUGGGGGAAACCCUGACGCAGCAACGCCGCGUAAGUGAUGAAGGCUUUCGGGUCGUAAAGCUCUGUCAAGUGGGAAGAACCCACAUGGUGAUAAUACCGCCAUGUGUUGACGGUACCACUGAAGGAAGCACCGGCUAACUCCGUGCCAGCAGCCGCGGUAAUACGGGGGGUGCAAGCGUUAUUCGGAAUUACUGGGCGUAAAGAGCGCGUAGGCGGUCUCUUAAGUCGGGUGUGAAAGCCCGGGGCUCAACCCCGGAAGUGCACUCGAAACUAUGGGACUUGAGUAUGGGAGAGGGAAGUGGAAUUCCUGGUGUAGCGGUGAAAUGCGUAGAUAUCAGGAGGAACAUCGGUGGCGAAGGCGACUUCCUGGACCAAUACUGACGCUGGGGCGCGAAGGCGUGGGGAGCAAACAGGAUUAGAUACCCUGGUAGUCCACGCCGUAAACGAUG
RNAcentral lists this ribosomal RNA (831 nucleotides) under uncultured bacterium. Its description in RNAcentral is "bacterial SSU rRNA". It matches the Rfam family "Bacterial small subunit ribosomal RNA", at positions 8 to 811 of the family's 1533-position model. The record is from RNAcentral.